CCAUCUUUAUAUGGAAUGAAAUGGAUCUGCUGAUAUAUCAGAUCGAGAUAAAAAGGAGACCUCUACUGUAUGUCGUAAACAUUAUAGUACCGGUAUUUUUCUUCCUCAUGCUGGAUCUGGCCUCCUUCUUCAUUGUC
This is a long non-coding RNA of Rhinichthys klamathensis goyatoka, 137 nucleotides long. RefSeq lists it as uncharacterized. NCBI's taxonomy places the organism in Eukaryota, Metazoa, Chordata, Actinopteri, Cypriniformes, Leuciscidae. The transcript is spliced from 2 exons. The record is from RefSeq and is a predicted model, not a curated record.